AUUGAACGCUGGCGGAAUGCUUUACACAUGCAAGUCGAACGGCAGCACGGGGGCAACCCUGGUGGCGAGUGGCGAACGGGUGAGUAAUACAUCGGAACGUGCCCAGUCGUGGGGGAUAACGUAGCGAAAGUUACGCUAAUACCGCAUACGAUCUACGGAUGAAAGCGGGGGACCGUAAGGCCUCGCGCGAUUGGAGCGGCCGAUGUCAGAUUAGGUAGUUGGUGAGGUAAAGGCUCACCAAGCCGACGAUCUGUAGCUGGUCUGAGAGGACGACCAGCCCGACUGGGACUGGGACACGGCCCAGACUCCUACGGGAGGAAGCAGUGGGGAAUUUUGGACAAUGGGCGCAAGCCUGAUCCAGCCAUUCCGCGUGCAGGACGAAGGCCUUCGGGUUGUAAACUGCUUUUGUACGGAACGAAAAGGCUCUGGUUAAUACCUGGGGCUCAUGACGGUACCGUAAGAAUAAGCACCGGCUAACUACGUGCCAGCCGCCGCCGUAA
This 500-nucleotide ribosomal RNA is filed under the name uncultured bacterium. RNAcentral describes it as "partial 16S ribosomal RNA". It matches the Rfam family "Bacterial small subunit ribosomal RNA", at positions 30 to 523 of the family's 1533-position model. The record is from RNAcentral.